Molecule: ribosomal RNA, 446 nt
Filed under: uncultured bacterium
Lineage: Bacteria
Description: partial 16S ribosomal RNA
Rfam family: Bacterial small subunit ribosomal RNA
Source: RNAcentral
CCUACGGGUGGCAGCAGUCGAGAAUCAUUCGCACUGGGGGAAACCCUGAUGGUGCGACGCCGCGUGGGGGCAUGAAGGUCAUCGGAUUUUAACCCCCUGUCAUGUGGGAGCAAAUUAAAAAGAUAGCACCACAAGAGGCAGAGACGGCUAACGCGGUGCCAGCAGCCGUGGUACUACAGAGGUCUCAAGCGUUGUUCGGAAUGACUGGUCAUAAAGCGUGCGUAGGCUGUUUCGCAAGGCGGGUGUGAAAGGCGCGGGCUCAACACGGGGACGGCACAUGAUACUGCGAGACUAGAGUAAUGGAGGGGGAACCGGAAGUCUGGGUGUAGCAGUGAAAUGCGUAGAUAUAGAGAGGAACACUCGUGGCGAAGGCGGGUUCCUGGACAUUAACUGACGCUGAGGCACGAAGGCCAGGGGAGCGAAAGGGAUUAGAUACCCUUGUAGUC